This 253-nucleotide ribosomal RNA is filed under the name uncultured bacterium. RNAcentral describes it as "partial 16S ribosomal RNA". It matches the Rfam family "Bacterial small subunit ribosomal RNA", at positions 524 to 776 of the family's 1533-position model. The record is from RNAcentral.
UACGAAGGGGGCAAGCGUUGUUCGGAAUUAUUGGGCGUAAAGGGAGCGUAGGCGGUUCGGCAAGUCUUUAGUGAAAUCUCUGGGCUCAACUCAGAGUCUGCUGGAGAAACUGCCGGGCUGGAGUAUGGGAGAGGUGAGUGGAAUUCCCGGUGUAGCGGUGAAAUGCGUAGAUAUCUGGAGGAACACCGGUGGCGAAGGCGACAUCCUGGACCGGUAUUGACGCUGAGGCGCGAAAGCCAGGGGAGCAAACGGG